AAUAGCACUAAUGUUCAGGUCAAAGUGAAUCCUUUUAAGCACACAUGUCAGGAAUCAACCCUUAGGAAGGAUACAAUCAGUAGAGCCAAGUCAAGAUGGGUGGCAGAAGAAGUAAAAAAGUGGGUGAAAGAAAACCAGCAAGUGGGUCCAAAGGAAUUGCAGAAGAACAUCAAAGAUAAGUUCAAGAUAGAUUUACCAUACAUGAGGUUGUUCAAUGGUAAACAACAUGCUAUGGAUUCUAUUUAUGGUAACUGGCAGGAAAGUUUUCAAUUGUUGUAUUCAUUCAAAGGUGAAGUGGAGAGGACAAGCCCAGGUAGUAUUGUAGAUAUUGAUCACCACACCGUGGAGUACACAUUCAGGGGAGUGACAAAGACCAAGGAAUGUUUUAGAAGGGUUUUUGUCUGCUUUGAGGCUUGUCGCCGGGGUUUUUUGGCAGGCUGCAGGCCUUAUUUGGCUAUUGAUGCCACUUUUCUCACAGGAAGGUUUAAAGGACAGUUAGUAGCAGCUUGUGCAGUUGAUGCACAUAGUUUUGUAUUUCCAGUUGCCUAUGGUGUGCUAGAGACAGAGUCUGAGGAGAGCUGGACUUGGUUUUUGCAUAAUCUCCGCCGGGCUAUUGCACAUCCCAAUGGGUUGGUCAUUCAUACAGAUGCCUGCAAAGGUUUAGAAGUGGCCGUGGACAAUGUGUUCCCUGGAGUAGAGCAUAGGGAAUGCAUGCGUCACCUUGCUGCAAAUUUCAUGAAGAAAUUCAAAGGAAAGGUGUAUAUCGACAAUUUAUGGCCAGCAUCUUUGACAUGCAGUGUGAAGAAGCACAACUACCACUUGAGGCAGUUAUACAUGAAUCCCAAAGUGAAAGAAUACUUGGAAACACACCACUCCAAGUUAUGGGCCAGAAGCCAAUUCAGUGAAGUGAGCAAAGUUGACUAUGUGCACAAUAAUCUAGCAGAGUCUUUCAACUCAACUAUCCGGAAA
Molecule: ribosomal RNA, 969 nt
Filed under: Triticum aestivum (bread wheat)
Lineage: Eukaryota; Viridiplantae; Streptophyta; Magnoliopsida; Poales; Poaceae
Description: partial small subunit ribosomal RNA
Source: RNAcentral